RNAcentral lists this ribosomal RNA (497 nucleotides) under uncultured bacterium. RNAcentral's name for it is "partial 16S ribosomal RNA". It matches the Rfam family "Bacterial small subunit ribosomal RNA", at positions 28 to 507 of the family's 1533-position model. The record is from RNAcentral.
GAUGAACGCUGGCGGCGUGCCUAAUACAUGCAAGUCGAGCGAACAGACGAGGAGCUUGCUCCUCUGACGUUAGCGGCGGACGGGUGAGUAACACGUGGAUAACCUACCUAUAAGACUGGGAUAACUUCGGGAAACCGUAGCUAAUACCGGAUAAUAUAUUGAACCGCAUGGUUCAAUAGUGAAAGACGGUUUUGCUGUCACUUAUAGAUGGAUCCGCGCCGCAUUAGCUAGUUGGUAAGGUAACGGCUUACCAAGGCAACGAUGCGUAGCCGACCUGAGAGGGUGAUCGGCCACACUGGAACUGAGACACGGUCCAGACUCCUACGGGAGGCAGCAGUAGGGAAUCUUCCGCAAUGGGCGAAAGCUUGACGGAGCAACGCCGCGUGAGUGAUGAAGGUCUUCGGAUCGUAAAACUCUGUUAUUAAGGAAGAACAAAUGUGUAAGUAACUAUGCACGUCUUGACGGUACCUAAUCAGAAAGCCACGGCUAACUACGUG